AUAACACGAGAUAAUGCUGACUUAAAGUAUGUUCAUUGACAAAUUGGUUAAAAUUGCAAGGGUUUUGUCAGUUUGUGUUGACUAGUUGGUUGGCAUUAGCUACUAGUUAGCUGGUUAGCGUUACUUUGCUCGCUGCCAAAUUAGUCCGCCAACUGAUGAAAUUGCCACGGCCUAUUUUUAGCAUUAGGCCUACGUAGAAGUUAGCAUGUGGUAACCACGGGAAUAUUUCACUCCUCCAUUCAUGUCUGAAUUAUGGAUAAGUUACAAAUCCGAUGUCAAUAGCAUUUAAAGUAGUUUGUCUUUUGAGAAACAUAAUUAACUAUGUUGGUAAUAUGGAACAGCGGUAAUCUACUUCUCUCUCUAUACAACAGAGCAUCCUCCUUAUCUGCAUUGUGUUUGACCAUAACGGCUGGUGACUCUAAAGUGCAAGUUCACACAUCAAUUCAGAUAUUGCUCCUGCCAGUGUUGGUGACUCCAUGGAUAUUUGACAGUGUCCUGCUGUCCAGCAUCUCUCCUCCUCUAUCCCAUUGGCUCUCUGUCUCUCCUAUACCUUGUAUCCACUCUGUCUACAAUUUGAUAACUCUAGCUUUCCUGUCAAAUCUACCGCUCUGUCUGAUUUUGGAAACUCUAUCUUUGUAUCCCUCUUCUAUCCCACUCUAUCUGUAUACAGAAGCCUGAAAACCCUGAUAUUCUGAAACCUGAACCCUGAACCCUGAAACCUGAACCUAAGGUUAUUGCAACCUGUCUGAACAGAACUCUGAGAGUAUCUCCACUCUCCCGCUCUCUGUCUCUCCUCUGAACACUCACUCACCCGGGUUAUUGGUACCUGAUCUACCUUUUUGAAUGAUCUGAGAGAUUCUCUUCUCUCACUCUCACCUCUCUCCUAUCAACUCCUAUAUUUAUACAAUACUAUUACUGUUUUUACUAAUUUGACAAAACAUUUGAAAUUUACUAUUAAUGAGAUUAACAAAAUUUGCCUGAACAAAGAAUUGAAAAGUUAAUUCAGAAGCUAAAAAAACAUAAAAUACAAAUCUUUUUGUUAUAAUUGAAAAAACUACACCAUGAUCCAAAGAAUUGUAUUGUAAAAAAGUACUCUUUAUAAUUGAAUCAGGUAGAUUUCCUGAUACACUAUUUGCAAAAGUGCAUUGAAUUAACAUAAUUAAAGACAACUGCACUCUGAUAUAUAAUAAAAUACAUAACUAUUACAAAUCCAUAUUAGAGAAGUGUAUUUGCUCCUGAUCGCUGUUGCUGUGCACCUGUUGGUUUGUACUCAAAGGUUUGUUUUGUGAGCAAACACUGUUGUUAACUUGAUUAGUCUACGUACAAGGAGAAAUAAUUCCGCUACAUGCAUUGUAUCAAUUAUACCUAAUUAAUGAAUACAUAAUUUUUUUCUUAUAAACUUACAUUGUGCAUAUCAGUGUUUUGUUGUUUAUACUGAAAUAAAACACAGACGUCAACCAGGAGGAAGUGGAUUCAUCAGGAGUGGCUGUUUCCUGCUGAUCCAACGUUCUUCAGAACCAUCCAUCUGUCAUCACACUCCCACAACAACUGCUCCCGAAUAUAAACAAUAGCCGAAUAAAGUAUUAAGAUAAUUUCUACCAGUAAAUUUAGCCAUCUGAAAUCUGAAGGGCCCUUUCAGUCAGCUGCUUUCACUCAACUGCUUCCAAGUUGUGUGUUUGUGGUAGACUUCAGUUUUUACAUUGAUUAUAUAUUUCCACAGAUAAGUCAAGGUCUCAGUAAGCAAUAUCUAUUACAUAUUAAAUACCAUCGGUCACUUUAGUACAUGGUACUUUAUUUACGCAGACAGACAUACUAAGACCUGAUUGCAGUAUUCAAAUCUAGAAGUGCUUUGUCUAGACCCUCAUAUAUUAGAAUACGUCAGCUGGAUAAUUUCAUUGUGUUUUUUAUAUUAAAACUAUAAAAUAAUC
Long non-coding RNA from Gasterosteus aculeatus aculeatus (three-spined stickleback), 1928 nucleotides. NCBI's taxonomy places the organism in Eukaryota, Metazoa, Chordata, Actinopteri, Perciformes, Gasterosteidae. The record is from Ensembl.